AAUACCCGAUAUGGCGAGAGCUGAAAGAUUAAUUGCCUGAAGAUGAACUCGCGUCCGAUUAGCUAGUUGGAGUGGUAAAGGCACCCCAAGGCGAUGAUCGGUAGCUGGUCUGAGAGGAUGAUCAGCCACACUGGGACUGAGACACGGCCCAGACUCCUACGGGAGGCAGCAGUGGGGAAUUUUCCGCAAUGGGCGAAAGCCUGACGGAGCAAUACCGCGUGCGGGAGGACGGCCUUUGGGUUGUAAACCGCUUUUCUCAGGGAAGAAGAUCUGACGGUACCUGAGGAAUCAGCAUCGGCUAACUCCGUGCCAGCAGCCGCGGUAAUACGGAGGAUGCAAGCGUUAUCCGGAAUUAUUGGGCGUAAAGCGUCCGCAGGUGGUUGGUCAAGUCUGCUGUCAAAGCGUGGAGCUUAACUCCAUAAGGGCGGUGGAAACUGAUUAACUAGAGGAUGGUAGGGGUCACGGGAAUUCCCAGGGUAGCGGUGAAAUGCGUAGAUAUUGGGAAGAACACCAGCGGAGAAC
RNAcentral lists this ribosomal RNA (522 nucleotides) under Leptolyngbya sp. ISC 64. RNAcentral's name for it is "bacterial SSU rRNA". It matches the Rfam family "Bacterial small subunit ribosomal RNA", at positions 165 to 720 of the family's 1533-position model. The record is from RNAcentral. Lineage: Bacteria; Bacillati; Cyanobacteriota; Cyanophyceae; Leptolyngbyales; Leptolyngbyaceae.